RNAcentral lists this ribosomal RNA (515 nucleotides) under uncultured bacterium. Its description in RNAcentral is "partial 16S ribosomal RNA". It matches the Rfam family "Bacterial small subunit ribosomal RNA", at positions 28 to 523 of the family's 1533-position model. The record is from RNAcentral.
GAUGAACGCUGGCGGCGUGCCUAAUACAUGCAAGUCGAGCGAAUGGAUUAAGAGCUUGCUCUUAUGAAGUUAGCGGCGGACGGGUGAGUAACACGUGGGUAACCUGCCCAUAAGACUGGGAUAACUCCGGGAAACCGGGGCUAAUACCGGAUAACAUUUUGAACCGCAUGGUUCGAAAUUGAAAGGCGGCUUCGGCUGUCACUUAUGGAUGGACCCGCGUCGCAUUAGCUAGUUGGUGAGGUAACGGCUCACCAAGGCAACGAUGCGUAGCCGACCUGGGAGGGGGAGCGGCCACAGUGGGACUGAGACACGGCCCAGACUCCUACGGGAGGCAGCAGUAGGGAAUCUUCCGCAAUGGACGAAAGUCUGACGGAGCAACGCCGCGUGAGUGAGGAAGGCUUUCGGGUCGUAAAACUCUGUUGUUAGGGAAGAACAAGUGCUAGUUGAAUAAGCUGGCACCUUGACGGUACCUAACCAGAAAGCCACGGCUAACUACGUGCCUGCCGCCGCAGUAA